AUACGGAGGAUCCGAGCGUUAUCCGGAUUUAUUGGGUUUAAAGGGAGCGUAGGCGGACGCUUAAGUCAGUUGUGAAAGUUUGCGGCUCAACCGUAAAAUUGCAGUUGAUACUGGGUGUCUUGAGUACAGUAGAGGCAGGCGGAAUUAGUGGGGUAGGGGGGAAAUGCUUAGAUAUCACGAAGAACUCCGAUUGCGAAGGCAGCCUGCUGGACUGUAACUGACGCUGAUGCUCGAAAGUGUGGGUAUCAAACAGGAUUAGAUACCCUGGUAGUCCACACAGUAAACGAUGAAUACUCGCUGUUUGCGAUAUACAGUAAGCGGCAAGCGAAAGCGUUAAGUAUUCCACCUGGGGAGUACGCCGGCAACGGUGAAACUCAAAUGAAUUGGCGGGG
This 392-nucleotide ribosomal RNA is filed under the name uncultured bacterium. Its description in RNAcentral is "partial 16S ribosomal RNA". It matches the Rfam family "Bacterial small subunit ribosomal RNA", at positions 523 to 918 of the family's 1533-position model. The record is from RNAcentral.